Long non-coding RNA from Cydia fagiglandana, 419 nucleotides. RefSeq lists it as uncharacterized. NCBI's taxonomy places the organism in Eukaryota, Metazoa, Arthropoda, Insecta, Lepidoptera, Tortricidae. The record is from RefSeq and is a predicted model, not a curated record. The transcript has 2 exons.
UAUAUUAAAAAAAACUUCCGGCAAAAAAUCCUUCCGGUGAUGUCAGCAGUCUCAAGCACAAUGAGGCCUCCUCCUAAGGCGUAUGAUAUGCGCUGUAAUGGCGGACGCCAACCAGAUCUCACAACUACAAAACAGUGCCAAAUUACGCGUAAACGUUAGGAGAAUACCAUCGCUUUAUGACAUUGUUCGGUGAGGCAAAGGUUCGGUUGGUGCAGUUCACAGUUCAUAGUACAUCUUCAGCUGAACGGAUAAAAUGACAGGACAUAAGGAAGACACUUGAGCUUGUAUUUUUGAUAUGUAGUAGUUUUGAGAUGGUUUUAUCUUUCAGAAAAUUACGCGUGUGGAUAUUACUAUUUUUAAAUACCUAAUUAGGCAGUGGACAAGACUAAUUAAUUAAAUAAUGUUUUUAUUGUAAGAGU